GGCUUGAUAGCUCAACUGGUAGAGUUUUGCACCGGUAUUGCAGAGGUCAUGGAUUAAAUUCCCAUUCAAGCAU
RNAcentral lists this transfer RNA (73 nucleotides) under Acropora cervicornis. Its description in RNAcentral is "tRNA-Thr". It matches the Rfam family "tRNA". From Rfam's summary of the family: Transfer RNA (tRNA) molecules are approximately 80 nucleotides in length. Their secondary structure includes four short double-helical elements and three loops (D, anti-codon, and T loops). Lineage: Eukaryota; Metazoa; Cnidaria; Anthozoa; Scleractinia; Acroporidae. The record is from RNAcentral.